Molecule: ribosomal RNA, 648 nt
Filed under: uncultured bacterium
Lineage: Bacteria
Description: bacterial SSU rRNA
Rfam family: Bacterial small subunit ribosomal RNA
Source: RNAcentral
UUGCUAGCUUGCUAAUAAUUCUCUAGUGGCGCACGGGUGAGUAACACGUGAGUAACCUGCCCCCAAGAGUGGGAUAGCCCCGGGAAACUGGGAUUAAUACCGCAUAAAAUCGCAAGAUUAAAGCAGCAAUGCGCUUGGGGAUGGGCUCGCGUCCUAUUAGUUAGUUGGUGAGGUAACGGCUCACCAAGGCGAUGACGGGUAGCCGGUCUGAGAGGAUGUCCGGCCACACUGGAACUGAGACACGGUCCAGACACCUACGGGUGGCAGCAGUCGAGAAUCAUUCACAAUGGGGGAAACCCUGAUGGUGCGACGCCGCGUGGGGGAAUGAAGGUCUUCGGAUUGUAAACCCCUGUCAUGUGGGAGCAAAUUAAAAAGAUAGUACCACAAGAGGAAGAGACGGCUAACUCUGUGCCAGCAGCCGCGGUAAUACAGAGGUCUCAAGCGUUGUUCGGAAUCACUGGGCGUAAAGCGUGCGUAGGCGGUUUCGUAAGUCGUGUGUGAAAGGCGGGGGCUCAACCCCCGGACUGCACAUGAUACUGCGAGACUAGAGUAAUGGAGGGGGAACCGGAAUUCUCGGUGUAGCAGUGAAAUGCGUAGAUAUCGAGAGGAACACUCGUGGCGAAGGCGGGUUCCUGGACAUUAACUGAC